GGUCAUGGAUGGGGAUGCGUCUGAUUAGCUUGUUGGCGGGGUAACGGCCCACCAAGGCGACGAUCAGUAGGGGUUCUGAGAGGAAGGUCCCCCACAUUGGAACUGAGACACGGUCCAAACUCCUACGGGAGGCAGCAGUGAGGAAUAUUGGUCAAUGGACGAGAGUCUGAACCAGCCAAGUAGCGUGCAGGAUGACGGCCCUAUGGGUUGUAAACUGCUUUUAUACGGGAAUAAAGUGGCUCACGUGUGGGUUUUUGUAUGUACCGUAUGAAUAAGGACCGGCUAAUUCCGUGCCAGCAGCCGCGGUAAUACGGAAGGUCCGGGCGUUAUCCGGAUUUAUUGGGUUUAAAGGGAGCGUAGGCCGCCGAUUAAGCGUGUUGUGAAAUGCCGCAGCUCAACUGUGGCACUGCAGCGCGAACUGGUUGGCUUGAGUGCGCGGAAGGCAGGCGGAAUUUGUGGUGUAGCGGUGAAAUGCUUAGAUAUCACGAAGAACCCCGAUUGCGAAGGCAGCCUGCCGCAGCGUAACUGACGCUGAAGCUCGAAAGUGCGGGUAUCGAACAGGAUUAGAUACCCUGGUAGUCCGCACGGUAAACGAUGGAUGCCCGCUGUUCCGGUUUUAUAUUGGAGUGGCCAAGCGAAAGCGUUAAGCAUCCCACCUGGGGAGUACGCCGGCAACG
RNAcentral lists this ribosomal RNA (677 nucleotides) under uncultured Bacteroidota bacterium. RNAcentral describes it as "bacterial SSU rRNA". It matches the Rfam family "Bacterial small subunit ribosomal RNA", at positions 217 to 893 of the family's 1533-position model. Lineage: Bacteria; Pseudomonadati; Bacteroidota. The record is from RNAcentral.